UCUGGACCAAAACCUUCAAAAACCCCUCUUCUUCUCUCUCCUUUCUUGAUCCCGUUGCCGUUGGCCUGUUAAUUUCCCCCUCUGCUGCCGCGUGAUUUCUCCGCUAAUACUCUUCCAUGAUGGAUCCAAAGAUUGCAAGCACUAUGGCAGAUGGCUUAUUUAGAGAGAGAGAGUGGAAAGAGCUAAGCUGCAUUGAAGGGCUUUAAGCCUGGGAUAAAUUCUGCUGCUCUUGUAUGAUGUAAUUGGUCCUGUCACCUGGUUCCCCCUAUAUGAUAUUCUCGUAUGGCACAGAUAAUACCAAAAGUGGUUAAGGCAGAACUGAAAGAGGUGGCUGUUAGCCUGUUAUUUCCAAUGUUAUCAAUGCAGUGAGGUGAUGACUAGUUGAUGAAAGAAAAGUAUUUACUAAAUCUCAACUUCACACACCUCAAGAGAACUGAAAAGGAGGAUGACAUACAAAGGAGCAAGUGGAACACAUGGAAAAAUACAUUACAGGUAAUAAGCAAACCAGGAGAACAUCAACAGCAACGGUAAUGAACAGCAUAAAUCCUUCGCGGCGAUGGCUGAGAACAGACAAACAUGAACAUGACAGCAAGAAAGAGCACUAAGAGGAUCCCUAUGGGAUCAAAACUAUCAUCUUUUUGGCAGCAGAUGCACUCCGUGGCCAUUUCUGAGAAGCAGCGACCUCUCCUGAUCAACUUGAUUUCUCUUUGCUUGUUUCAGUUCCUGAGGAGAUGAAGAAUGUUCAAGGCAUAGGCAUGGUAUUUAUAACUUUAAAUCCAGUCUCAUUCUUUUCGCUGUAAGAAAAGGGGAGUGAUUUGUGACAUACCUCCCUUGAUACAUAUUUGAUAUAUGCAUUAAAAGACAAAAAUCACCCUAUAUUUUGACUUC
Nelumbo nucifera (sacred lotus) is the source of this 888-nucleotide long non-coding RNA. RefSeq lists it as uncharacterized. Lineage: Eukaryota; Viridiplantae; Streptophyta; Magnoliopsida; Proteales; Nelumbonaceae. The record is from RefSeq and is a predicted model, not a curated record.